AGUAUUCAUGUUUGCUUCGAUCGAAAAUUUUUUGAACUCAAUCUUGCUAAUCACAUAGAACUACUCCUUUUCUACCAAGAUCGAUAGAUUUUAUGUAGAUAUUUCCUACUCUAACAACGAACUGAACCUAUUGUAGCCAACAUAUACAGCAAAGAUCCGAAUAGCUAGGGAUCAAGAAAAAGUGCAGUCAACUCAGUAGCCUCACUGCGAAUAGCCAAUGACACCGCAGGUCAAAAGAUCACUCACACCACUGC
This 254-nucleotide long non-coding RNA is filed under the name Elaeis guineensis (African oil palm). RNAcentral's name for it is "long non-coding RNA (EGUI_LNC033963)". Lineage: Eukaryota; Viridiplantae; Streptophyta; Magnoliopsida; Arecales; Arecaceae. The record is from RNAcentral.